Molecule: ribosomal RNA, 919 nt
Filed under: uncultured archaeon
Lineage: Archaea
Description: bacterial SSU rRNA
Rfam family: Archaeal small subunit ribosomal RNA
Source: RNAcentral
UUCCGGUUGAUCCCGCCAGAGGUCAUUGCUAUCGGAGUUCGAUUUAGCCAUGCUAGUUGUGCGAGUUCAUACUCGCGGCAGAUAGCUCAGUAACACGUGGCCAAGCUACCCUGUGGAGAGGAAUAAUCUCGGGAAACUGAGGCUAACUCCUCAUAAGACUCUUCUUCUGGAAGGAGUGGAGUUGGAAACGCUACGGCGCCACAGGAUGCGGCUGCGGUCGAUUAGGUAGACGGUGGGGUAACGGCCCACCGUGCCUAUAAUCGGUACGGGUUGUGAGAGCAAGAGCCCGGAGACGGAAUCUGAGACAAGAUUCCGGGCCCUACGGGGCGCAGCAGGCGCGAAACCUUUACACUGCACGACAGUGCGAUAAGGGAACUCCGAGUGCGAGGGCAUAGAGCCCUCGCUUUUGUGAACCGUAAGGUGGUUCACGAAUAAGGGCUGGGCAAGACCGGUGCCAGCCGCCGCGGUAAUACCGGCAGCCCAAGUGAUGACCGAUAUUAUUGGGCCUAAAGCGUCCGUAGCUGGCCGCGCAAGUCCGUUGGGAAAUCUGCUCGCUUAACGAGCAGGCGUCCAGCGGAAACUGUGUGGCUUGGGACCGGAAGACCUGAGGGGUACGUCCGGGGUAGGAGUGAAAUCCUGUAAUCCUGGACGGACCACCGGUGGCGAAAGCGCCUCAGGAGGACGGAUCCGACAGUGAGGGACGAAAGCUAGGGUCUCGAACCGGAUUAGAUACCCGGGUAGUCCUAGCUGUAAACGAUGCCCGCUAGGUGUGGCGCAGGCUACGAGCCUGCGCUGUGCCGUAGGGAAGCCGAGAAGCGGGCCGCCUGGGAAGUACGUCUGCAAGGAUGAAACUUAAAGGAAUUGGCGGGGGGGCACUACAACCGGAGGAGCCUGCGGUUUAAUUGGACUCAACGCCGGG